Molecule: ribosomal RNA, 538 nt
Filed under: Escherichia coli
Lineage: Bacteria; Pseudomonadati; Pseudomonadota; Gammaproteobacteria; Enterobacterales; Enterobacteriaceae
Description: partial 23S ribosomal RNA
Rfam family: Bacterial large subunit ribosomal RNA
Source: RNAcentral
UGGCUGGGGGUGAAAGGCCAAUCAAACCGGGAGAUAGCUGGUUCUCCCCGAAAGCUAUUUAGGUAGCGCCUCGUGAACUCAUCUCCGGGGGUAGAGCACUGUUUCGGCAAGGGGGUCAUCCCGACUUACCAACCCGAUGCAAACUGCGAAUACCGGAGAAUGUUAUCACGGGAGACACACGGCGGGUGCUAACGUCCGUCGUGAAGAGGGAAACAACCCAGACCGCCAGCUAAGGUCCCAAAGUCAUGGUUAAGUGGGAAACGAUGUGGGAAGGCCCAGACAGCCAGGAUGUUGGCUUAGAAGCAGCCAUCAUUUAAAGAAAGCGUAAUAGCUCACUGGUCGAGUCGGCCUGCGCGGAAGAUGUAACGGGGCUAAACCAUGCACCGAAGCUGCGGCAGCGACGCUGAUGCGUUGUUGGGUAGGGGAGCGUUCUGUAAGCCUGUGAAGGUGUACUGUGAGGUAUGCUGGAGGUAUCAGAAGUGCGAAUGCUGACAUAAGUAACGAUAAAGCGGGUGAAAAGCCCGCUCGCCGGAAGACC